AUUGAACGCUGGCGGCAGGCCUAACACAUGCAAGUCGAGCGGAUGAAGGGAGCUUGCUCCUGGAUUCAGCGGCGGACGGGUGAGUAAUGCCUAGGAAUCUGCCUGGUAGUGGGGGAUAACGUCCGGAAACGGGCGCUAAUACCGCAUACGUCCUGAGGGAGAAAGUGGGGGAUCUUCGGACCUCACGCUAUCAGAUGAGCCUAGGUCGGAUUAGCUAGUUGGUGGGGUAAAGGCCUACCAAGGCGACGAUCCGUAACUGGUCUGAGAGGAUGAUCAGUCACACUGGAACUGAGACACGGUCCAGACUCCUACAGGAGGCAGCAGUGGGGAAUAUUGGACAAUGGGCGAAAGCCUGAUCCAGCCAUGCCGCGUGUGUGAUGAAGGUCUUCGGAUUGUAAAGCACUUUAAGUUGGGAGGAAGGGCAGUAAGUUAAUACCUUGCUGUUUUGACGUUACCAACAGAAUAAGCACCGGCUAACUUCGU
This 483-nucleotide ribosomal RNA is filed under the name uncultured bacterium. RNAcentral's name for it is "partial 16S ribosomal RNA". It matches the Rfam family "Bacterial small subunit ribosomal RNA", at positions 30 to 506 of the family's 1533-position model. The record is from RNAcentral.